CCUACGGGUGGCAGCAGUAGGGAAUAUUGCUCAAUGGGGGAAACCCUGAAGCAGCAACGUCGCGUGGAGGAUGACGGCCUUCGGAUUGUAAACUCCUUUUGUUAGAGAAGAUAAUGACGGUAUCUAACGAAUAAGCAACGUCUAACUCCGUGCCAGCAGCCGCGGUAAUACGGAGGGUGCGAGCGUUACUCGGAAUCACUGGGCGUAAAGGGCGCGUAGGCGGGUUAGCGAGUCAGAUGUGAAAUCCUAUGGCUUAACCAUAAAACUGCAUUUGAAACUGUUAUUCUAGAGUAUGGGAGAGGUAGGUGGAAUUCUUGGUGUAGGGGUAAAAUCCGUAGAGAUCAAGAGGAAUACUCAUUGCGAAGGCGACCUGCUAGAACAUAACUGACGCUGAUGCGCGAAAGCGUGGGGAGCAAACAGGAUUAGAUACCCGUGUAGUC
This 440-nucleotide ribosomal RNA is filed under the name uncultured bacterium. RNAcentral's name for it is "partial 16S ribosomal RNA". It matches the Rfam family "Bacterial small subunit ribosomal RNA", at positions 338 to 795 of the family's 1533-position model. The record is from RNAcentral.